UAUAUAGAUAGAUAGAUAGUGUUUGGGUAUUUUGCAAAUGUGUGUAUGUGUGUAUUUGCAUAUAUAAAUAUAAAAUACAUAUAUGUGGAAAUGUAGAUAGGAGAGGCAAUAGAGCAAACAUGAUUUAUGGACAAAAGGAGCUUUAUACAUGGGAUUUGUAGACUUACAUUGUCCCCUUCCUCAUUGCAGAUAUUCAGAUCAAGUCCAGGGAGGGGCAUGGGACCCUUCCUUAAGAAGAAUAAUUGCAAAUCUGUUACAACCCUCUUUCCUACCUAUCAGGAGUCUUGAUAUGUUACUGUCAAGGAAUGCUCAAGAGACAGAAACCAUAACUCAAACUGGCUUAAGCAAAAGAUGAAUUUAUUGAUUUGGAUAAUAAUAGCAGAACAACCUGAUUCCAGGUACUAUCUGAUCCAGUGUCUAGUUGGAUCACCGGAACCUGUUUCUUCUUCUGAAAUAACUCUGUUUUCAUGCUGGCUGUCUCCUUAUGAGGUGGAGUUUUCUGAGAAGCAGAUGCCAAGACAGGAUUAGAUAUGGUUAUGGUUUGGGUCUCCAUGUAUCAAUCCAACUCAGGCCCUGUGUCCAGUAAUUUUCAAAAUGUCAGGUAUUCAUCUUGUAUUAGUACACGGAUAACCUAGUAAGUGGUAGUAAUUUCCUUUGGGGAAGGACUGGUAGAAUUACAGUAUAUAUUUGUAGCAGUGUUGCAGAGUCUCUUCGAGGGACCUGGCCACCUCUUCAUUCAAUGGGUCUGGAUCUGAAAAUUAACUCAAGUUUGGGAAGUGAGGGAUAUGAUUUGGCUGUAUCCCCACCUAAAUCUCAUAUUUACUUGUAGUUCCCAUAAUCCCCAUGUGUUUUGGGAGGGAUCCAGUGGGAGGUAAUUAAACCAUGGUGUGGUUAUCCCCAUGCUGCUGUUCUCGUGAUAGUAAGUUCUUACAGGAUCUGAUUUUUACAAAUGGCUUUUUCUUCUUUGCUCAGAACUUCUUCCUGCUGCCAUGUGAAGAACAUAUUUACUUCUCCUUCUGCCAUGAUCGUAAGUUUCCUGAGGCCUCCCCAGCCAUGUGGAACUGCUUCCUUCAGGAUUUUAAUCAACCUUACAGCCUCUUUGAGAAUAACUGAACUUCCAAAUUCCCUAAAGUUAAAAACUUUAAUUCUAUUAAACAUUUUUUUGAGUAUUUCAUUACUUUUACAUUAUGACUUGUGUGGUAAUUUGAAAUCAUAAGGGCUGAAAAAGAUCUUCAAAUAAGAUUUUAUAGUUAAAAUUUUUCUGACUUUUCUAAUAUUCUUCUUCCUAGCUCAUUUCACAAUCUUCAGAUGUAGAUUCCCUUUGAACAUAAAGUCGUAUAAAUAUAGAAUGUUCAAGCAUCUGACAUAUAAAUUUACAUAUGUUUUGAAGAUUGGAGGAUAUACCCUAUGAUUGUAUCUGAUGUUGUUAUUUUCUCAUCAUUGUUACCAGACAGUAAAUAAAUACUUCUGCCAGGCGUGGUGGCUCACUCUUGUAAUCCCAGCACUUUGGGAGGCCGAGGUGGGCAGAUCAUGAGGUCAGGAGUUUGAGACCAGGCUGGCUAACAUGGUGAAACCCUGUCUCUACUAAAAAUAUAAAAAUUAGCUGGGCGUGGUGACACAUACCUGUAAUCCCAGCUACUUGGGAGGCUAAAGCAGGAGAAUUGCCUGAACCUAGGAGGCAGAGAUUGCAGUGAGCCAAGAUCAUGCCACUGUACUCCAGCCUGGGCGACAGAGAAAGACUCUGUCUCGGGGAAAAAAAAAAUCAAUUCUAAUUUUGUUUACAUGUAUUAUUACACAAAAAUGGUCCACUACUCAAAAGCCUCCUCUUUGAGGUAGUGAUUGAUAUUAUUAUAAUUUUUUGUGUGAAAUCUUGAUUGCAUUGAUGAUAAUAUGUUUUUAUUACCCAAAUAAAAGAAAUAAGGACUCUUUACAAUUUAAGGGGAAUAUUAGAGAAUUUUUUAAAUAGGCCAGGCACAGUGGCUCACACCUGUAAUCCCAGCACUUUGGGAGGCUGAGGUGGGCAGAUCACUUGAGGUCAGAAGUUCAAGAUCAGCCUGGCCAACAUGGUGAAACCCCCAUCUCUACUAAAACUACAAAAAUUAGCCAGGCGUGGUGGCAGGCCCUUGUAGUGCCAGCUACCCGGGAGGCUGAAGUAGGAGAAUCUCCUGAACCCAGGAGGUGGAGGUUGCUGUGACCCAGGAUCCCACUGCUGUACUCUAGCCUGGGGGACAGAGCAAGACUCUGUCUCAAAAAAACAAACAAAAAAUAAAAAAUAAAAUAAAAUUAUGCCAGACUUGUUUCAAUAUCAUAGUUCUUCAUUAAAAUUCAGUAAUAUUCUGAUAUUUUCAUUAAUAAUUGUUUCACCAACUUCUUUUAUGGAAAACUUACACCUGUUAGGCAAAAUUUGGAAGAUGAAAGUAUAAACAUGUAUUUGAUAUUUUUGCUAUUUGCAGUACUUUGAUAUAAAAUAAACAUGGCUUCAGUUGAACUUGAGAGUACAGGGCAUGUGAUAUCAAAAACGGUAGGAAAAAAAAUGAUCUAUUUUCAUAGUGAGGGUAAAUGAAACUGGACAUUAUAAGUAUUAAAAGUUUUCAUUAAAGGCAUCAAGGCUGAAAAAAAAAAAGAUAUCAAGGCUGGACUUGCUUGAGCAAGGAAAAACUAAAUUUUUCUAAGUUGAGAUGGCUGUAACUCCAGGAAGACAGAUCUUACUUUGGAUCAAAGAUUGAUUUCUCUAUGAGGCAGAAAUUUUGACUUUGGUUUGUUUAGGAGCUGAAAUAGCAACGUGGAAAUAAGUAAUCUCUUUUGCUCCACCAAAAUCUCAGAACUUCCUCUGCCUUUGCCACCAUUAAGGCCAUCUAGACAACUGAGUUUGCUUAUCCUGUCGCAAGUUUUCUCCUUAGUUGCUUCCAGGAGUUUCUCCUCACUUAAGAGUGGAUGAGGAACCUCACUGUGAACGGAGGAUGUCUUAUAGUACUUUCAGUUUGCCUUUAUGGUUAUCUUGGUGAUAGAUUUCUUCAGUAGCAAUCUUGGGGGAUAUACAUGCUGGGUAAAUCCUGUCUGUCUUAUUCUUCAGUUGGAAAUACAGUGCCGGCACUAAGAUAUGGGGAACAGACAGACGGAGGCCACAAUAUUCAAGUUUUAUUAAACUUGCCACAGGUUAGAGCUUUAAUCUCAUAAUUCUAGAUAAAGGUGGGAUCCUUAUAGAUAGAAAAAUUAGAAAGAAUACCUGGAGGUUGUACUUAUUUUGACUAUUUAUAAGAUUACCAGCCAGGCACAGUGGUUCAUGCCUGUAAUACCAGCACUUUGGGAGGCCUAGGUGGGAGGAUUGCUUAAGCCCAGUAAUUUAAGAACAACCUAGGCAACACAAUGAGACCCGUUAAUAUAUAUAUGAUCAUCUAUUUUUGGUCAAAGUUGGGACUAGGCUAUAAAGAACCAGUUGUGUGCAUUGGAGAGGAAAAAUGAAAAAGCAGCAAGGAAAAGAAGGGGCCCAAGCCAACCGACUAUGAUAACAAUUUAACAAUGUAUACAUAUAUAUAUACACAUAUAUAUAUAUAUGUAAAAGGUCAUUGCCAGAUUUAAGUAUAUCUUUUUUAUUAGAGAGAUUCAUAUCUCAAAAGCAUGUUAACUGUUAGAAUAUUAAAAGUAUAUCCAGUUUUCCUUAAUUCCCUACUUACAGACAUUUUCGCAUACUUUUCAAAAUCCCAUUAAUUGAUGGUUUGGGGAGAGUCUUAUUUUUUUUAUCUUUUCGCUAUAAGAAAUUCUGAUUUAGUUUCUUGGCUCAAAACAAUUCAAAUAGACUAUGUUAUUCUCUGUAGAAUAUCAUGUCACCUUCAAUAAAUUGUGAAAAAAAUCAUCCUUUAAUUACACAACCUGAACAUGGCUUUUAAUUUCUAAUCAUCUGAAAAAAUGCAUAAUCAUCUUUAAGUAAAAGAAAUGAAAAAUAUUAAGCCAUAGUAAGAACUUUUAUUUCCAUUACAAAGAAGCUUUAGAAUUAAUUUAUUCAUUACUGGCUCUAAUUAAUUCAUUUUGGAAUCAAUCAUAAUUCUAUUUACAAAAAUUAUUUACUGUUUUCCCAGUUUUAAAUGUUAUUUUAUAUAGCCAUAUUUAGUAAUUGCUGAUGAUACAUCAUAAUUACAAAAUGCUAUAUCCAAAUGAUUAAAUUUUUUUGGUGUUAAAUGAAAUUGUUAAGAAGCUUUUUUUCUGUUUUGCAUGACUUUUUUCUUUUAUCACCUAUCAAUCAGUGAAUCUAAAAAAGUAAAGUGGAAAUCAGCUGACCGCAUUUGAAUAAAAAUAAUUUGAGAUGAGAAUAAGUUGAUAGUAUAGUAAUAAGGUCUAGUGAUAGCUUUCCCAGGAGAUAACUUAUGCAAAAAUGAUGGACGUCUGCCCAUCAUUGCAUAUAGAAUGCUGACAUUCUUGACUUUAAUAGGAAAGCAUUUAUCUUUUGCACCUGCUCCAUUAUAUGAAUAGCUGUCAUGUGUUUCAACAAAAGAGAGGAAAAACUGUCACUAUGAUUUAAGAAAUAUGCAUUGGUGUAAGAAAAGGUAAAAUAUUUUGAGCAGUUAGAAUUUAUUUUUCUUGCUCUAUUAUGCAUCGUUUCUACAAUGAAUUAUUUAAGCUUUGUUUAAUCAUAUUAGUAUUUUCCUACUGAGUUCAUCAGUAUGGCUUCAUCAUUAUGGAAAGUCCUUGAAUUAUUAAAGAGUGACUGUGUGCAUGCUUUAGGAGUAAAAGGUUAGUAUAUUUAUGAUUUCUGAAGUUUCAGUGAUAUGCAACAAAAUGAAACAUUUAGUUAAAAUGUAAAUGUCAUCUUUGGAAUAUUACAUCAUGAAUACAUAAAAUUUAAAGUUAAUGACAUUAAAA
Molecule: long non-coding RNA, 4857 nt
Organism: Callithrix jacchus (white-tufted-ear marmoset)
Lineage: Eukaryota; Metazoa; Chordata; Mammalia; Primates; Cebidae
Source: Ensembl